UUGAAACGGGUAUGAACAAAACCUAAAAAACAAAAUAAUAAAAAAGAAGAAGAAGAAAAAAAAAAAAAAAAAAACUAAACAAUUAAAUCCCUCUCUAUAUCUCUAUAUCUCUAUAUCUCACAAUUCUCAAAUGGCCCCUAGUUGUCAAAAGCAGACUCAAUCCUUCAAUCCCCCUUUUUGGGUGUCUAAAAAGAUCAACAUAACAAACAUCCUUUACAACUUUUCUUUUUCUUUCAUGAAAGAAAAACUUGUCUCAUCUUUAUAUUAAUAUUUAAAUGUUGAACUUCAUAUUUGUAUAAUUUACUUCAUUUUAUUUAUUUAUUUAUUUUUUUCUUCUUCUGUAAAUAAGUACCUGCAUCCCCCAUUAAAAGAACCAAUAAGAAAACGCAGGCGGUUAAGAGAGAGAGAGAGAGAGAGAGAGAGAGAGUAUGGAGUAGGAGUCAGUGAUUCUAGUGGGUUCCUGCAAAAAAAAGACCCCACCUCUGUUUCUCUACCAUAUCUAAUUUCCAAAAUUUUUUAUUUUUAGUUUUAUUUUUUUGAAAAAAUAAUUUUUUUUUUUUUUUGGAUUCGAACCCCACAAGAGGGACCUGAGAGUCUGAGACAGGCCUGCAAUUAGGACAAGAUUUUGUUGUACUGAAGUUUUGAAAAAGCCAGCUGAUAAUAUUUACUACUAGUACACAAAAACACAACACCAGUGUGUGUCGUUGUGAUAAAUAAAUAAAACCAAAGCAAAGCAAAAGCUACAAAGUCUUUAAAACAGGUUAGGUUUCUUCACAGAGAAGUAGUUAAAACAGAAACGAAAAGCAUAUAGAUAGGGACAUCCCCCAGCCCCGGCGCCAGCACCAUCAGCGGUGAUCUCUACCUUCCUUCGUGAAUUUCAAAGGCAGGUAUAGUAGUAGUAAAUUAUUAUGAUGAAUUGUUCAUUUGUUUUUGUGUGUGAUUAAGUAUAUGAAUAUAACAACCAUUUGUUUUAAUAGAUGAAGAUCAUGAGAAUGGUCUAGAGUUGAAGCCUUUGCAUGGCGAGUCACAGAAUUGGAGCUGCUGGUGGGUUAUCUCACGACUCUGCAGGUCCUUCAAAUCUCCAUCACCACCAUGUCCCUUAUGCAACAUCUCUUCAUCAAGGCUUCAUGUAUGCUGUAUAUGGGUUUUUUUUUUCCUCUCUUUUUUUUUUGGGGGGGGGGGGGGGG
RNAcentral lists this long non-coding RNA (1187 nucleotides) under Citrus x clementina. RNAcentral's name for it is "Citrus clementina (C. clementina) long non-coding RNA (CCLE_LNC001074)". Lineage: Eukaryota; Viridiplantae; Streptophyta; Magnoliopsida; Sapindales; Rutaceae. The record is from RNAcentral.